Molecule: ribosomal RNA, 253 nt
Filed under: uncultured bacterium
Lineage: Bacteria
Description: partial 16S ribosomal RNA
Rfam family: Bacterial small subunit ribosomal RNA
Source: RNAcentral
UACAGAGGGGGCGAGCGUUGUUCGGAAUUACUGGGCGUAAAGGGCGCGUAGGCGGCCUGCUAAGUCAUACGUGAAAUCCCUCGGCUCAACCGGGGAACUGCGUGUGAUACUGGCGGGCUUGAAUCCGGGAGAGGAAUGCGGAAUUCCAGGUGUAGCGGUGAAAUGCGUAGAUAUCGGUAGGAACACCAGUGGCGAAGGCGGUCUCCUGGGGCAUUCUUGACGCUGAGGCGCGAAAGCUGGGGGAGCAAACGGG